Molecule: ribosomal RNA, 253 nt
Filed under: uncultured bacterium
Lineage: Bacteria
Description: partial 16S ribosomal RNA
Rfam family: Bacterial small subunit ribosomal RNA
Source: RNAcentral
UACGGAGGGGGCGAGCGUUAUUCGGAAUUAUUGGGCGUAAAGGGCGCGUAGGCGGCCCGCUAAGUCAAAGGUGAAAUCCCUCGGCUCAACUGAGGAACUGCCUUUGAAACUGUCGGGCUUGAGGCCGGGAGGGGGUAGCGGAAUUCCCAGUGUAGCGGUGAAAUGCGUAGAUAUUGGGAGGAACACCAGUGGCGAAGGCGGCUACCUGGACCAGCACUGACACUGAAGCACGAAAGCGUGGGGAGCAAACAGG